Erigeron canadensis is the source of this 100-nucleotide small nucleolar RNA. NCBI's taxonomy places the organism in Eukaryota, Viridiplantae, Streptophyta, Magnoliopsida, Asterales, Asteraceae. The record is from RefSeq and is a predicted model, not a curated record.
AAUGGGCAUAUGAUGAAGCUUUAUUUGACAAAUGGGUAAUUUGCGUCUGAAUGCAUAUUUUUGCUUGAUGCUACAACACCUUGGAGAACUGAUGCCUUUA